UCAACUAAGUGGUCGAACUCUUCGUAAACUGCCAUUCCUUGCACAUGCGCUGUAUUCGAAAGCACAAACGAUAACCUCAGAAGAGUUUUUGAAUAAUCUUUCAAUGAUUGUUGACAAGCAGUUCAAAGAAAAAGAGAAUCUUUGCUCAGUUGGUGAAGAAAAAAGCGUGCAAGCGUGAUCUUUUUAACGAUUAUUUGAAGCUUUGCUGCGAUAAUACAGGUUUGUACUGCUAUCUCAUCUUUGUUUGUUGCCUAUCUGAUAGCAUGUCAACUCCGGGGACCAGAUUUUUU
Long non-coding RNA from Xenia sp. Carnegie-2017, 290 nucleotides. RefSeq lists it as uncharacterized. Lineage: Eukaryota; Metazoa; Cnidaria; Anthozoa; Malacalcyonacea; Xeniidae. The record is from RefSeq and is a predicted model, not a curated record. The transcript is spliced from 3 exons.